RNAcentral lists this unclassified non-coding RNA (352 nucleotides) under soil metagenome. RNAcentral's name for it is "partial contains 5.8S ribosomal RNA, internal transcribed spacer 2, and large subunit ribosomal RNA". The stretch from base 1 to 120 matches the Rfam family "5.8S ribosomal RNA", at positions 35 to 154 of the family's 154-position model. The record is from RNAcentral.
GAUGAAGAACGCAGCGAAAUGCGAUAAGUAAUGUGAAUUGCAGAAUUCAGUGAAUCAUCGAAUCUUUGAACGCACAUUGCGCCCGCCAGUAUUCUGGCGGGCAUGCCUGUUCGAGCGUCAUUACAACCCUCAGGCCCCCGGGCCUGGCGUUGGGGAUCGGCGGAGCCCCCCGUGGGCACACGCCGUCCCCCAAAUACAGUGGCGGUCCCGCCGCAGCUUCCAUCGCGUAGUAGCUAACACCUCGCGACUGGAGAGCGGCGCGGCCACGCCGUAAAACACCCAACUCUUCUGAAGUUGACCUCGGAUCAGGUAGGACUACCCGCUGAACUUAAGCAUAUCAAUAAGCGGAGGA